Molecule: long non-coding RNA, 2031 nt
Organism: Phyllopteryx taeniolatus (common seadragon)
Lineage: Eukaryota; Metazoa; Chordata; Actinopteri; Syngnathiformes; Syngnathidae
Exons: 4
Source: RefSeq, a predicted model, not a curated record
UUAGAGUGACCGCAUUCUAUAUGACGUAUGUGUUCGCAAACGAACGUAAACCGCUAGGCUUUAACCAAUAGUCGGCAAUUUCGAGAAUAUUCUAUGCCAUAGAAUGCGACAAAAACAGCGUAAAAAAGUUUCGAGGUUUUACAUGGGUUAAGGGGUCUUAACAAAGCUGACUAAUCAGAAAAUCUGAAUUAUAACCAAGGGCGAUUCUCGAAUCAAAGGUUUAGGGGUGCUGAGCUCCAUGGUCGCCGGCGCCCAGGAGCCCAUCCCAGCUACCAUCGGGCAGGAGGCGGGGUACACCCUGAACUGGUUGCCAGCCAAUCGCAGGGCACAUAUAAACAAACAACUAUUCACACUCACAUUCACACCUACAGUUGUCAAUUAACUUACCAUGCAUGUUUUUGUGAUGUGGCAGGAAACCAGAGUGCCCGGAGAAAACCCACGCAGGCACGGGGAGAACAUGCAAACUCCACACAGGCGGGGCCGGCGAUUGAACCCCACUCCUCAGAACUGCAAUUACCAGGCAAGAGCAACUCAACAUCAAAGGAACUCAACAUAAUCUCAACGCUGCAAUAAUGGUUGGGAGACAACCCUUAAAAGGUUGUAGGUCAGUUUCUGUUGAGUGUCGGGUAUCGGUUGUAAUUACAAUUUUGUAGAAGUCGGGAUAAUACACGCACCUGCCAAGUUUGGUUGCCGUAGGUGUGGCGUACCACGAAUAGCUCUUUGAUGAACUACAUCUGCAACCUUUUGUGUGUGAAUAUCUUGAAAACUGCGUUACGUUUGUCUAAAAAAAUAAAUGCACUUGUCCGCUGAUCCACAAACGCGCCUUCAACAAUUCACAAGCCAAAUUGAAUAUUUACAAAUGAUAAGUCAUGAUAAAUGCACACACAACAUUAAAAAACAUGUGUAAAUCACAGGUAUGUAGUGGAUCUGAAAAACACGUAAAUCGCUGAUAUAUUUGUCAAUAAAUUUAAUUUAGGACAAAUCUCAGUAAGUGCGGGUGUAGUUGCGUGACACCACCUUUUACAUUAAUGUAAGAUGCAUUUUCCGUGAAGGGAGCUGUAUCAUGUUAUUAUCCUUAAACAGUGGUGGGUAGAGUAGCCAAACACAGUACUCAAGUAAGAGUAGUUACUUUAGAAUAAUAUGACUCAAGUAAAAGUAAAAAGUAGUCCAAAAAAUCAAAAUAAAUCAGCAUCAACGUGAAAUAAAAUAAAAUAAAACAAUAGUAUAUGAGAGUCCACACACACCUGCCACCAUUUAAAGUUUUAACUGCCCAAAAACCAACAAUACCUGACAGAAUCUGAAUCAGAAUCAUCUUUAUUUGCCAAGUAUGUCAAAAACACACAAGGAAUUUGUCUCCAGUAGUUGGAGCUGCUCUAGACAGACAACAGACAGACAAUUGACAGAGAAUACAUUUGAGACAUAAAAACAGUCACUGAGCAAUCAAAGGUUACCAGUAAUGUGGUAAUGCCGGUACAAUUUUAUUAUUUUUUAAUUUUUUUUUUAGAAUUACACAAAAUGAUGCUGAGUACUCUAGCAAUUAGAGCAGUUUGAAAUGACUAAUAGAACAAUAGUCUGGUGCAAUGACCAUUGUGCAAAUGGCGCAGAGACUUGACUGCAGUUUAAAGUGACUAGUAGUGCGAUAAUCUGGAACAAUGUGUCAUGUACUGCCCUGCAGUACCUUUUUUGGAGCCUGGAUGGCGCUUUGCGCCCUCUCGUCCCCUCUCACUCCCCUCCCCUUUCUUUCAGCACCUUCCUCUAGCCGCGCACCUGUCAACAAUCAGCCCUCAUCACCACCUCUUUCUUUCAGCACCUUCCUCUAGCCGCGCACCUGUCAACAAUCAGCCCUCAUCACCACCUACAUAUAAGCCUGCCUGUUCCCGGAAAUCCAUGCCCAAGUAUUGCAGCUUGUUCCAGCGUAUUCCCGAUCCACGUCAUUCCUGCCGCCAAGCCAGCCGCCUGUCCACACCACUGCCUUCCAACGCACCCAGGACCACCUCUAUUACCUUCCUAAAUAAAAUGUUCAUCACAAUC